GAAAAUAAAUAUUACUUGUUAAAAGAAACAUUUUAAUCAGAUCAAUUGUAUUAAUAUAAAAUAAUAUAAUUGACACAUUUUGUUGAGCAGAUGAUAUAGACCUGUGGUAGAGACAGGUAUGGAGACAGGUCAUCAGUCUGUUAUAUAGAGCUAUGGAGACAGGUCAUCAGUCUGUUAUAUAGCGCUAUGGAGACAGGUCAUCAGUCUGUUAUAUAGAGCUAUGGAGACAGGUCAUCAGUCUGUUAUAUAGAGCUAUGGAGACAGGUCAUCAGUCUGUUAUAUAGCGCUAUGGAGACAGGUCAUCAGUCUGUUAUAUAGAGCUAUGGAGACAGGUCAUCAGCCUGUUAUAUAGAGCUAUGGAGACAGGUCAUCAGUCUGUUAUAUAGAGCUAUGGAGACAGGUCAUUAGUCUGUUAUAAAGAGCUGAGAUGAUGGAUAGGCCAACCUCAUGUUCAGUGUAUUGAUGAUGAUUGGCCAACAGCUUCAGUGGAUUGAUGAUGAUUGGUCAACAGGUUCAGUGGAUUGAUGAUGAUUGGUAAUCAGGUUCAGUGGAUUGAUGCAUGUAUUACUAUUGGAUAACUGACAUGGUUUUUAAAUCAAAUGCUACGGGGUCAAUAAUAAAAUAACCCAUCAGUAUAUCCAGUUCCAAGCAGUAGGCCUUGAUGUAUUUAAUCCACUAAUACUAACCAUGUUCAUUUAACAUAAAAAUAUCUCUACAUUUAGCAUUUUGAUCAUCAACAAGGUUUAUUUGAGCUGUGGUCAGCUGGCAUUAUAAAUCACCAUAGUAACGACUGACGGCAGUGCGUCACAGGCAGGAAUCAGCAAAGAGUCUGGUGUUGAGUUUUCACCCGGAGAGUCGAAGAGGGUGAUGCCUGGUCUACACUAGAUAGAGGGUGAUGCCUGUCUACACUAGAUAGAGGGUGAUGCCUCCUCUACACUAGAUAGAGGGUGAUGCCUGGUCUACACUAGAUAGAGGGUGAUGCCUGGUCUACACUAGAUAGAGGGUGAUGCCUGUCUACACUAGAUAGCGGUAAAUUGUGCUUGUGGGCUGCUGGCAGAAUAUGGCAGCAUGUUCAAUUGUGCGUCAAGAAUUCAGCAAGUUUGAAUGAAGGAUAAAUGGGGAAAAUAGUUGAAUCCAUUCUCCAUUUCAUGAAUUUAUUCACAGGUAAAUAGUUUAAUCCAUUCUCCAUUUCAUUAAUUUAUUCACGGGUAAAUAGUCAUUGAAGAUUUUUUUAAUUAUUAAAACUUCUUUGGGAUCAUUGGGACGCUAGCGUCCCACCUCGACAACAUCCGGUGAAGUUGCAGAGCGCCAAAUUCAAAUUACAGAAAUAGUAAUAAUAAACAUUCAUGAAAGUACAAUUGUUAAUCAUCGGUUAAAAGAUAAACUUCUUGUUAAUCCAGCCGCUUUGUCAGAUUUCAAAAAGGCUUUACGGCAAAAGCAUACCAUGCGAUUAUCUGAGGACAGCGCCCCGCUUACAAAAGCAUACAAACAUUUUCCAACCAAGUAGAGGACUCACACAAGUCAGAAAUAGCAAUAAAAUAAAUCACUUACCUUUGAAGAUCUUCAUCUGGUUGCAAUCACAAGGGUCCCAGCUACACAAUAAAUGGUCAUUUUGUUCGAUAAAGUCCUUCUUUAUAUCCCAAAAACUCUAUAUUGUUGGUGCGUUUUGUUCAGUAAUCCACUGGCUCAACAUGUCAAACGAUGUUUAUAAUUAAUCCUCAGGUUGUCAAUUAUCUAAAUAAUCGAUAAUAUUUCAACCGGACAAUAGCGUAUUCAAUAGAAAGGAUAAACAACGAAGAGCAUGCACACAGUCACGCUUUCAAUGGAAAACUACUCACAUCAAAAAUAAUGGAUUUUCCUCAGGUUUUUGCCUGCCAUAUCAGUUCUGUUAUACUCACAGACAUUAUUGUAACAGUUUUAGAAACUUCAGAGUGUUUUCUAUCCAAAUCUACCAAUUAUAUGCAUAUCCUAGCUUCUGGGCCUGAGUAACAGGCAGUUUACUCUGGACACAUUUGUCAUCCAAACUUCAAAAUACUGCCCCUAGCCCAAAGAAAAAAACUGUGUAUAAAAUCUGAAAAUGUAUUUAAUUGUUUAUUUGCAUAUAAUAGGCAAUUUUUUAAAAAGACAACAUUAUUGACACCUUGACACCGAAUUAAAUGUCUUCCCGCUUAUAUUUUGAUUUUUGGAGGGAGUGUAUUAGACUGUAAAUAGUGAUGUCAUCUUCAUACCUGUAUUUCCAUCAUGAAUUUCAAACUGUGGAAACUCUUGGCUAUUGCGGCGAUCUAUCAACGCAGCGACAGCGCUCAAUGUGGGUUCACCCCGUCCUGAUGACCCACAGCCGGUAUAUAGAGAACCAUCAUCUGGUACAGGAGCUGCGGUUUGUGAUGUUCCACAGCCCGUAUAUAGAGUACCAUCAUCUGGUACAGGAGCUGUGGUUUGUGAAGUUAUGCUUGGUAGCUAUAUUUGCUAGCUAAAAAUAAUUGUUAUUCAUGUCUUGUACACAGUAUCUAACGGGGAGUAUCUGACAGGGGAGUAUUUGACAGGGGAGUAUCUGACAGGGGAGUAUCUGACAGGGGAGUAUCUGAUAGGGGAGAUCACUCUGAGGGCUGCCUGUCACAGGUCCAUGAGGAAGAGUGAAAGUUAACAGGUUAUUUGGUAAAGAUCUGUUGAUGCAGUGUUUGGUAAUUGUGUUCACUGAGACACAAUCUAUUCCUGUAUAGUUAAAUGAACCCCUAGUUAAGAAGACUAGAAACUACUAUGUUAAUUGUUAUUUAUGAGCUGCAUCAUUCUUGUUUCUCACUUCAGUCUUUC
Molecule: long non-coding RNA, 2811 nt
Filed under: Salmo salar (Atlantic salmon)
Lineage: Eukaryota; Metazoa; Chordata; Actinopteri; Salmoniformes; Salmonidae
Description: lncRNA (ENSSSAG00000094638.1)
Source: RNAcentral